GGUGCGUUCGUCUAAAUGGUUAGGACGCAACCCUUUCAAGGUUGUAAUACGGGUUCGAUUCCCGUAUGCACUA
Molecule: transfer RNA, 73 nt
Filed under: Crassvirales sp.
Lineage: Duplodnaviria; Heunggongvirae; Uroviricota; Caudoviricetes; Crassvirales
Description: tRNA-Glu
Rfam family: tRNA
About the family: Transfer RNA (tRNA) molecules are approximately 80 nucleotides in length.
Source: RNAcentral